CUCAUACCUGUUCUCAGUCACAGUCACCAUAGUCAUCAGCCCCAGCACUGAUUGCCCACACCUGCCUCAGCUCGUUACACUCCCUUUAUCCCUGCACUCCUCUCACGACCCUAUUGUCCGGUCUACAAUUAGCAUCGCAAGACAAACAUUGAAAGAGGACUGAUUACACACAGAUAAGACUAUGCCCCCUACUCCGGCAUUGCCCCCCGCACUCCCUGAUCCGCCAUGGCUCCUUGGACUGCCUGUCCCGCCAUGGCCCCCCGAGCCCCCUACUCCACCAUGGCCCUCCAAGCUCCCUGAUCCGCCCUUGAGGCCUCCCGUGUCUCCAUCUUAGACCAGCCUCCAGGGCGCCCACCCAGUUGUUCCUGUGUUCCGAUCCCCGUUCUCCACCGCUCCUGUGCUCCACCGUCUCCACGCUCCGUUGUU
Sinocyclocheilus grahami is the source of this 426-nucleotide long non-coding RNA. RefSeq lists it as uncharacterized. The transcript is spliced from 3 exons. Lineage: Eukaryota; Metazoa; Chordata; Actinopteri; Cypriniformes; Cyprinidae. The record is from RefSeq and is a predicted model, not a curated record.